GAUGAACGCUGGCGGCGUGCUUAACACAUGCAAGUCGAACGAAGCACUUUAUUUGAUUUCCUUCGGGACUGAUUAUUUUGUGACUGAGUGGCGGACGGGUGAGUAACGCGUGGGUAACCUGCCUUGUACAGGGGGAUAACAGUUGGAAACGGCUGCUAAUACCGCAUAAGCGCACAGCAUCGCAUGAUGCAGUGUGAAAAACUCCGGUGGUAUAAGAUGGACCCGCGUUGGAUUAGCUAGUUGGUGAGGUAACGGCCCACCAAGGCGACGAUCCAUAGCCGACCUGAGAGGGUGACCGGCCACAUUAGGACUGAGACACGGCCCAAACUCCUACGGGAGGCAGCAGUGGGGAAUAUUGCACAAUGGGCGAAAGCCUGAUGCAGCGACGCCGCGUGAGCGAAGAAGUAUUUCGGUAUGUAAAGCUCUAUCAGCAGGGAAGAUAAUGACGGUACCUGACUAAGAAGCACCGGCUAAAUACGUG
Molecule: ribosomal RNA, 481 nt
Filed under: uncultured bacterium
Lineage: Bacteria
Description: partial 16S ribosomal RNA
Rfam family: Bacterial small subunit ribosomal RNA
Source: RNAcentral